Molecule: ribosomal RNA, 468 nt
Filed under: uncultured bacterium
Lineage: Bacteria
Description: partial 16S ribosomal RNA
Rfam family: Bacterial small subunit ribosomal RNA
Source: RNAcentral
GACGAACGCUGGCGGCGUGCUUAACACAUGCAAGUCGAACGGAAAGGCCCUGCUUUUGUGGGGUGCUCGAGUGGCGAACGGGUGAGUAACACGUGAGUAACCUGCCCUUGACUUUGGGAUAACUUCAGGAAACUGGGGCUAAUACCGGAUAGGAGCUCCUGCUGCAUGGUGGGGGUUGGAAAGUUUCGGCGGUUGGGGAUGGACUCGCGGGUUAUCAGCUUGUUGGUGGGGUAGUGGCUUACCAAGGCUUUGACGGGUAGCCGGCCUGAGAGGGUGAACGGCCACAUUGGGACUGAGAUACGGCCCAGACUCCUACGGGAGGCAGCAGUGGGGAAUAUUGCACAAUGGGCGGAAGCCUGAUGCAGCAACGCCGCGUGCGGGAUGACGGCCUUCGGGUUGUAAACCGCUUUCGCCGGUGACGAAGCGUGAGUGACGGUAAUGGGUAAAGAAGCACCGGCUAACUACGUG